GGCGGACGGGUGAGUAACGCGUAAGAACUUGCCCUUUAGACUGGGAUAACAGAGGGAAACUUCUGAUAAUACUGGAUAAGUUAGUAUAUCGCAUGAUAUGCAAAUGAAAGCUACGGCACUAAAGGAGAGCUUUGCGUCCCUAUUAGCUAGUUGGUAAGGUAAGAGCUUACCAAGGCGAUGAUAGGUAGCCGGCCUGAGAGGGUGGACGGCCACAAGGGGACUGAGAUACGGCCCUUACUCCUACGGGAGGCAGCAGAA
RNAcentral lists this ribosomal RNA (258 nucleotides) under uncultured Leptotrichia sp. RNAcentral's name for it is "partial 16S ribosomal RNA". It matches the Rfam family "Bacterial small subunit ribosomal RNA", at positions 97 to 354 of the family's 1533-position model. The record is from RNAcentral. Lineage: Bacteria; Fusobacteriati; Fusobacteriota; Fusobacteriia; Fusobacteriales; Leptotrichiaceae.